AUGGUUGGACUCAUAGGGAGGGAGCCAGGGGUACAAGGGAAGUCCGCCGGUGCAAGUUAUCAUUGGAUUGUUGAACACUUUGGGGAAUGCCCGGCUGAUGCGGACGCUGAAACAGUGCAGCAGUAUACCAGGGCAUACUUGUGGUAUGUAGUCAGCCGGACUCUUUUCUCUGACGGCACUGGCGUGAACGCUUUCUUUAUGUGGCUUAAGCUGUUUGCUGGGUGGGAGCAUGGACUCGGUUGGGGUACGGCGGCGUUGGCUUAUUUGUAUCGUCAGGUAAGUAGUUUUUCUUAUAAUAUUGUGUUCACCAUGUAG
This 315-nucleotide ribosomal RNA is filed under the name Triticum aestivum (bread wheat). RNAcentral describes it as "partial small subunit ribosomal RNA". Lineage: Eukaryota; Viridiplantae; Streptophyta; Magnoliopsida; Poales; Poaceae. The record is from RNAcentral.